Molecule: ribosomal RNA, 479 nt
Filed under: uncultured bacterium
Lineage: Bacteria
Description: partial 16S ribosomal RNA
Rfam family: Bacterial small subunit ribosomal RNA
Source: RNAcentral
GAUGAACGCUAGCGGGAGGCCUAACACAUGCAAGCCGAGCGGUAGAGUUUCUUCGGAGACUUGAGAGCGGCGCACGGGUGCGUAACACGUGUGCAACCUACCUUUAUCUGGGGGAUAGCCUUUCGAAAGGAAGAUUAAUACCCCAUAAUAUAAUGAUUGGCAUCAAUUAUUAUUGAAAACUCCGGUGGAUAGAGAUGGGCACGCGCAAGAUUAGAUAGUUGGUGAGGUAACGGCUCACCAAGUCAAUGAUCUUUAGGGGUCCUGAGAGGGAGGUCCCCCAGACUGGUACUGAGACACGGACCAGACUCCUACGGCAGGCAGCAGUAAGGGAUAUUGGACAAUGGGUGAGAGCCUGAUCCAGCCAUCCCGCGUGAAGGAUGACGGUCCUCUGGAUUGUAACCUUCUUUUGUACAGGGAUAAACCUACUCUCGUGAGGGUAGCUGAAGGUACUGUACGAAUAAGCACCGGCUAACUCCGUG